Molecule: non-coding RNA, 843 nt
Organism: Leptonychotes weddellii (Weddell seal)
Lineage: Eukaryota; Metazoa; Chordata; Mammalia; Carnivora; Phocidae
Source: RefSeq, a predicted model, not a curated record
CCGCGGCUGGAGUAGCCGCGAACGCGCCUGGGCCUCUGUGCCCCGCCCUCCCUGCUUCCGGCUACUUGGGGGAACGUUCUGGAAGUUUGGGAGGCGACGUGGCCCCAGGGACCCGCUGAUCUGGUUUUUUUUCUCUUUUAUUCCUGACUAGACUCUGCUGCAACUCAUGGAACUCAACCCCAUAUACUUCUUAUAGUUUAAAACAACUUUGCAUCUAAUUGGCCUUCUUUUAGGCAAGAAUAAGCAUUUGGCAACUAUUUCCAGAGUUCUUCAGGGAUGAUUCUGAAGUAUCAUAUAUGGAGUACCAGAUUGUGGCACCAUUAGAAGAAGCUGGGUUGAUCCAGACACAGACAGAUGGCUGAAAAUGGCAGAAAAGAAAAAAUAAAAUGGACAACCACUAUUAUUAUUAGCUCAUCUCUUAAGGACUUGCAUUUUUAUUGAUGGAUGUUAAAGAAUGCUUUAUAUCAGCUGAAGAAAUAUUUCUAGCCAAAAUUGAGAAGUUUAUUAAUAUUCACCAAAAGAGUUUUUUGGUUCUGUCUGCUGCCCUCCAUGGGCCUGAGGAAUGGAAACUGAUGUUUAGGAUUCAGCAGAGAUUCCUGGGUAGUAAUUUACGGAUACUUCCAGUACACAACACAGUAAAUGCUAUUAAUCUUAUGUGCACUAUAGCUAAGACUGCCUCCAAACCAUACAGAGACAGCAUUUGCUAUAGAAUGAUAACAACUGAGGCUUACAUCAUUGAGCAAAGUCCUGUUUGGAAGACACUUCAAAAGUUAAAACUGAGUAGUGAUUCAUUUAAUCCAAAUUAGAGUAUCAAUUACAAAAGUUCUUUUGCAAGAAUGUUAA